UACGUAGGGGGCAAGCGUUGUCCGGAAUCAUUGGGCGUAAAGAGCGUGUAGGCGGCCAGAUAAGUCCGCUGUGAAAUCUCGAGGCUCAACUUCGAGCUGUCGGUGGAAACUGUCUGGCUAGAGUCCGGAAGAGGAGAAUGGAAUUCCUGGUGUAGCGGUGAAAUGCGCAGAUAUCAGGAAGAACACCCGUGGCGAAGGCGGUUCUCUGGGACGGUACUGACGCUGAGACGCGAAAGCGUGGGGAGCGAAUAGG
RNAcentral lists this ribosomal RNA (253 nucleotides) under uncultured bacterium. RNAcentral's name for it is "partial 16S ribosomal RNA". It matches the Rfam family "Bacterial small subunit ribosomal RNA", at positions 524 to 776 of the family's 1533-position model. The record is from RNAcentral.